Molecule: long non-coding RNA, 238 nt
Filed under: Mytilus galloprovincialis (Mediterranean mussel)
Lineage: Eukaryota; Metazoa; Mollusca; Bivalvia; Mytilida; Mytilidae
Source: RNAcentral
GAUUUCAUACUUUAUACUUUACAUGUUUAUUAACCACCACCAGAGGGCGUGUCAUGAUGUAUAUACAACUUCCUAGGUCAAAGGCGGGUCGCCCUAUAGUGAUCAGUCUGUCCGUCCGUCCGUCCCCCUAUAGUGAUCAAUCUGUCCGUCCGUCCGUCCGUAACACUUUAACUUUAUGUCCGCUCCAUAUCUAGAGAACCAUUAUGAUUUCAUACUUUAUACUUUACAUGUUUAUUAA